This is a long non-coding RNA of Anguilla anguilla (European eel), 223 nucleotides long. RefSeq lists it as uncharacterized. The transcript has 3 exons. NCBI's taxonomy places the organism in Eukaryota, Metazoa, Chordata, Actinopteri, Anguilliformes, Anguillidae. The record is from RefSeq and is a predicted model, not a curated record.
GAUUUGGACAGAGUUUGAACUUUUCUAACUUUAGAUCCUGGAACAGAGGACAGUACUACUGUGAGGCACAGAACAGACUUGGAGCUCAGAAUGCUUCUGCUCUACUGGUCACAGUGCAAGGAGGAGAAAAUCAACAAAUGAGACAGAAGGGGACAGGCAGGGGAAUAAAAGCCCCAUUUAUGGCAACGUCUCAGGGAUGGCAAUGAGUCACACUGGAACACAG